GAUGAAGAACGCAGCGAAAUGCGAUACGUAAUGUGAAUUGCAGAAUUCAGUGAAUCAUCGAGUCUUUGAACGCACAUUGCGCCCCCUGGUAUUCCGGGGGGCAUGCCUGUCCGAGCGUCAUUGCUGCCCUCAAGCCCGGCUUGUGUGUUGGGUCUCGUCCCCCUUCCCGGGGGGACGGGCCCGAAAGGCAGCGGCGGCACCGCGUCCGGUCCUCGAGCGUAUGGGGCUUUGUCACCCGCUCUGUAGGCCCGGCCGGCGCUUGCCGAUCAACCCAAAUUUUUAUCCAGGUUGACCUCGGAUCAGGUAGGGAUACCCGCUGAACUUAAGCAUAUCAAUAAGCGGAGGA
This 346-nucleotide unclassified non-coding RNA is filed under the name soil metagenome. RNAcentral's name for it is "partial contains 5.8S ribosomal RNA, internal transcribed spacer 2, and large subunit ribosomal RNA". The stretch from base 1 to 120 matches the Rfam family "5.8S ribosomal RNA", at positions 35 to 154 of the family's 154-position model. The record is from RNAcentral.